This 468-nucleotide ribosomal RNA is filed under the name uncultured bacterium. RNAcentral's name for it is "partial 16S ribosomal RNA". It matches the Rfam family "Bacterial small subunit ribosomal RNA", at positions 28 to 507 of the family's 1533-position model. The record is from RNAcentral.
GACGAACGCUGGCGGCGUGCUUAACACAUGCAAGUCGAACGGAAGGGCCCUGCUUUUGUGGGGUGCUCGAGUGGCGAACGGGUGAGUAACACGUGAGUAACCUGCCCUUGACUUUGGGAUAACUUCAGGAAACUGGGGCUAAUACCGGAUAGGAGCUCCUGCUGCAUGGUGGGGGUUGGAAAGUUUCGGUGGUUGGGGAUGGACUCGCGGCUUAUCAGCUUGUUGGUGGGGUAGUGGCUUACCAAGGCUUUGACGGGUAGCCGGCCUGAGAGGGUGACCGGCCACAUUGGGACUGAGAUACGGCCCAGACUCCUACGGGAGGCAGAAGUGGGGAAUAUUGCACAAUGGGCGGAAGCCUGAUGCAGCAACGCCGCGUGCGGGAUGACGGCCUUCGGGUUGUAAACCGCUUUCGCCUGUGACGAAGCGUGAGUGACGGUAAUGGGUAAAGAAGCACCGGCUAACUACGUG